RNAcentral lists this long non-coding RNA (486 nucleotides) under Anser brachyrhynchus (Pink-footed goose). RNAcentral's name for it is "lncRNA (ENSABRG00000021738.1)". Lineage: Eukaryota; Metazoa; Chordata; Aves; Anseriformes; Anatidae. The record is from RNAcentral.
GUUGUUUAUGGCACUUGGCACAAAUGCAGCACAUUUGUCAUGUCAGUAGAUGGUCACUUGCCAAAAGUUGCCCACGGCCUGUUAUCUGCAUAUGUGUCAAUAAUAUAUUUAUCCUGGUUGUCUACAGGUAAAUGAAGUCCAUCGAGUUUUCAGGGAGUGUCCACUGGUUUGUAUGCUAUGAAAAGACUGAAAGAGACUGAUGCAGUGAAAGGAGCUCUUAGGUGUCCGUAUGCACCAUGCAAGGACAUGUUAUUUCCAGUCACUGCAGUCCUGAUCUCCACUCCAGCCCUGGACAAGCAAGGCAAGGUCAGCAAGGAAGGGCCCCUGUGCUAUCUGGAGACCACCGAGAUACUGGACUGUGUUCUGGACAGAUUUCACAGUGAGCAGUUGAGACAGGUCAGUGUAAACACCUGCACUGUAUCUGAGCUGCUAACUUCUGAAGAGGAAUUUUUCCUAAUUGGUCUGUGUAAAGAAAACUAAUGUAAG